Molecule: ribosomal RNA, 940 nt
Filed under: Philometroides cyprini
Lineage: Eukaryota; Metazoa; Nematoda; Chromadorea; Rhabditida; Philometridae
Description: bacterial SSU rRNA
Rfam family: Eukaryotic small subunit ribosomal RNA
Source: RNAcentral
AUGCAUGUCUAAGUUCAUAUUGCCUAUAAUGGUGAAACCGCGAACGGCUCAUUACAACAGCUAUUAUUUACUUGAUUUUGAUUCCAUACGUGGAUAACUGUGGCAAUUCUAGAGCUAAUACAUGCACCAAAGCUCCGACUAUGAUUUUGACGAGCGCAUCUAUUAGAAUAAAACCAAUCGAGACUUUUUUCUUUAUUCGAGAAAGUGGUCUCGUCGAUUUGGUGACUCUGAAUAGCUUAGCUGAUCGCAUGGUCUCGUACCGGCGACGUAUCUAUCAAGUAUCUGCCUUAUCAACUUUCGAUGGUAGUUUAUGUGACUACCAUGGUUGUAACGGGUAACGGAGAAUAAGGGUUCGACUCCGGAGAGGGAGCCUGAGAAACGGCUACCACUUCCAAGGAAGGCAGCAGGCGCGCAAAUUACCCACUCUCAGCACAGAGGAGGUAGUGACGAAAAAUAACGAGACCGUACUCGAUGAGGCCGGUUAUCGGAAUGGGUAAAAUUUAAACCCGUUAACGAGGAUCUAUGAGAGGGCAAGUCUGGUGCCAGCAGCCGCGGUAAUUCCAGCUCUCAAAGUGUAUAUCGGCAUUGCUGCGGUUAAAAAGCUCGUAGUUGGAUUUGAGCCUUACGACGUGGUCCAUUCAUUGAAUGCGAACUACGCCUCGUAGGCUAUUUUGAUGUUGGUUUUUCCUUAUGUCGCUCUCAUCGGCAGCGUAAGGUGGCUAACGAGUUUACCUUGAAAAAAUUAGAGUGCUCAACGCGGGCUAACGCCUGAAUACUCGUGCAUGGAAUAAUGGAAUAGGAUCUCGGUUCUAUUUUGUUGGUUUUCUGAUCUGAGAUAAUGGUUAAGAGGGACAGACGGGGGCAUUCGUAUCGCUGCGUGAGAGGUGAAAUUCUUGGACCGUAGCGAGACGUCCCACUGCGAAAGCAUUUGCCAAGAAUG